This 67-nucleotide transfer RNA is filed under the name human gut metagenome. It matches the Rfam family "tRNA". Rfam says of the family: Transfer RNA (tRNA) molecules are approximately 80 nucleotides in length. Their secondary structure includes four short double-helical elements and three loops (D, anti-codon, and T loops). The record is from RNAcentral. RNAcentral also lists the same sequence under 1 other name.
CGGGUGUAGUUCAAUGGCAGAACUUCAGCUUCCCAAGCUGGCCACGAGGGUUCGAUUCCCUUCACCC